Molecule: long non-coding RNA, 587 nt
Filed under: Setaria viridis
Lineage: Eukaryota; Viridiplantae; Streptophyta; Magnoliopsida; Poales; Poaceae
Description: long non-coding RNA (SVIR_LNC006793)
Source: RNAcentral
AUGUUAUGGUAAUUUUGGGGAUGAUGUGUCACCUUCUAAUUUCUCCAUAAUGACAUUGUUGUGGUUUUCAUGAAUAUAAUCGUUCAGGUAUGUAAAACAAUUUAGGAAAAGAAUAAUUCAUGAAUUGGAUAAUGUGUCUUUUGCACUUUGGCCCUUGCAAUAGGUUUUGCUGUUUUAUUAGAAUACUUGGCUUGGUUUCUUUUUUUCUAAAAGUUCAUGGCCUUUCUUGGAAGUUUGCAAGGACCUUUUGGGAAGAUAUGGAUUUUCUAUAUUUUUGAAAAAAUUGGGCUUUUUCUAGAAUUUAGAUAUUACCAUGCCUAUUUCUAUGAUCUGUACGGAGAAACAAAUAUUUCUAAGAAAUAUUUCUUUUUCCCCCACAUGUAUGCUUGAUAAAAAAAUCAUGUACACAAUUAUAUAUGCAAUGUACAUGUACGUAUCUAUUCACAGUUUACACUCCCCUUAAUGUGUGAUGAAUGUUAUGUAUGCAUGAUGAAUGUAAAAAUCAAGGAUGUCUAAAACUGUGAUAUGAAGUGAAAUGAUACGGUACUCCGUUUGAGAUAAUAUGCAUGAGAUGAUCAUGUCGGUUC